GCAGCUUAUGAGUCGGGCGCAGUCCUUGUUUUUGUGCCGACACCUUUUUCUGUUUUGGUGCUGCGUCACCCUAUUUUGGACCAAUGGCCCAUGUAUCAAGUUGAGUCCAUUAGGGACGCAUCCUAGGGUUGGAGGACGACUCUAGCACCCCUUUGGUCGUCCUCCCCUCUAUUUAUUUACAUCUAGAGCCGCCAUGAACAACUGGGUUUUGAUUAGAUAAAGUUUAGCCUUCGCUACUUGCUUGUAAGCGCGCGUGCUGAUCCAGCCGCCCGUCUUCUUGUUUUCGAAACCCCACUUCAUUAGAGAUUGAGUUUGAAACCUUCAUUUACAUCUAGUAAUUUAGUACUUGUUUCCUCGUUCUUGCUAGUUCUUUGAUUGUUUGCAGGACGAGUGCCCUAGUGGCCGGGUGUUGCGCUCCACAAGAUCGUGACAGCCAUUGGAGGUGGUGUAUCGGUUGCUAAGGCGCGGUCUUGAGGGCUGUAGUCGGGCCGUGAACGUCAUCUUCAUCCACCAAUCGAUUUAUCCAGCGCCUCUCAUCGAAAGAUCAGGCGAAAACCCUAGUGGGUUCACAUCAGUUGGUAAUCAGAGCAAGGUUUAUUGGUGAGAGAUUUCCAAUUCUUCGUGUUUGUUUUUCCUAUAGUCCAAAAAAAGCCAAAAAAUAUAGCAGAUUUGUUUUCCAUAAUCCUAUAAAUCCUUUGUGCCGUGGCUAGUACUACUUAGUUAGGGCUGGUUGAAUGAGUGUUUGCUUCAGUCGUGUCCAGUGCUGGUUUUAGUUUAGUCCUUUAGAGUUUUGAGUUCUUGUCACCAUCUAGUCACAACUGCGUCCAAUCUAUUGUGGGUUGGAAUUUGAGUAGAUCUUGAUAAUAGGUGCAGCCACUUGUUGGUCUAUUCUGUGUUUCCAUCAACGUGAUCCAAAAGGAAAGAUAGCACUUCAUACUUGUGCUAGAUAUAUUGAAUUUUGAGGUUCAGCCUUACUCUAGUGAGAGGGUGAGAGUGGUGAAGUGAUAUUUUGUACUAUUUUGUUUAUAUAAUCAGGUUUUGAGGUUCCCCAAAAAAAAGAAAAGAGAAAGAAAAAAAAAGAAAGAAAGAAAGAAAAAAAAUCAAAAAAAGGGGAUUGUUGUUCCUUUUUGUUUCCAGUAGGGCUGCUCAUUUUAUUUCUAGUGGUGUGCUGUAUUUUUCCUUUGUGUCCAGGCUCGCGUCUCUAGCACGGUCUAGGCUAGGACCAGCACAGUACCACCGUUGAGCGUUUAUUGAACUUGCUUUUUAUAACUAACGUGGUGCUAGUUCGAUCCUUGUUUCAGCCCACCUAUAGCUCCACAUAUUCUACAGCUUGAUAGGUUUUGUUGCUGCGGCACCGAUACACUUCGUCCAUUGCUGUGGAUUUGUUGGUAGCCAAUCCCUCCUGUUGAGCAAGGUAAGAAUUGGUAAGAACUUGUUAGACAGGUUGAUAGAGAGCGUCUUACAGUAGCCACAUCCUAAUAGCUGUAGGGUUUUUAUUUCUUCACCUAUUUUUCUUGUUUCCACUGUGUGUUUUUUUAAACCAUGUCAGAGACAGAGGAUACCAACAAAAUUCCACAGUCACCUCGCACUAAGGGCAUCAUACAACAUUUUGAAAGGCAAGUGAAGCUACACACAGAGGGACUUGAUGACGACUUGAAGGUGACGAAUGACAAGCUUGGGCAGUUGGAGGACACGCAGAUUGCCACAAACAACAAGAUUACAAAGAUGGAGGCAUCUAUUACUAGUAUGGAUAAAAGUCUUGCUGCUCUUCUCAAACGCUUUGAUGACUUCCACACAAUGGACAAAGAGAAGCAUAAGGAAGAAAACAAGGAGGAAGACCGAGUGGAUGGCAAUUAUGAUGAUGAUUACACUGCUGAUACGGAACGAGAUGAUCAAGACACUCAUCAUCGACGUCGCCUACGUCACACCCGUAGAGGUAUGGGUGGCCACCACCGACGCGAGGUACACAAUAAUAAUGAUGCUUUCAGUAAGAUUAAAUUUAAAAUACCUCCUUUUGAUGGUAAAUAUGACCCUGAUGCAUACAUUACUUGGGAGAUUGCUGUUGACCAAAAGUUUACAUGUCAUGAAUUCCCUGAGGAUACACGUGUUAGGGCUGCUACUAGUGAGUUCACCGAUUUUGCUUCCGUUUGGUGGAUAGAACAUGGCAAGAAAAAUCCUAAUAACAUACCUAGAACUUGGAAUGCGUUGAAACAAGUCAUGAGGGCUAGAUUUGUUCCUUCUUACUAUGCACGUGACAUGAUUAAUAAGUUGCAGCAAUUGAGACAAGGUGCUAAAAGUGUAGAAGAAUAUUAUCAGGAAUUACAAAUGGGUAUGCUGCGAUGUAAUUUAGAGGAGGAAGAAGAACCUGCUAUGGCUAGAUUUUUGGGCGGGUUAAAUCGUGAAAUCCAGGACAUUCUUGCUUAUAAAGAUUAUACUAACGUAACCCGUUUGUUUCAUCUUGCUUGUAAAGCUGAAAGGGAAGUGCAGGGACGACGUUCACAUGAUUCUUCCACAAAUACAGCAACUAAAUCAGCCCAGAGACCAAUCGCUAGUGCCUCCUCGGUUAAUUCCACAGGAAGAACAAGAGAUGUUCAGUGUCAUCGAUGCAAGGGCUAUGGGCACGUACAGCGAGAUUGUCCAAACAAGCGUGUUUUGGUGGUUAACGCUGAUGGUGGGUAUUCCUCUGCUAGUGAUUUUGAUGACAAUACACGUGCUUUGCUUGCUGCUGAUGAUACAGGUAGGGAUGAAGCAAUAGAAGAGCAGAUAGGUGCAGAGAAUGUAGAGCAUUAUGAGAGUCUUAUUGUGCAGCGUGUGCUUAGUGCUCAAGCGGAGAAGGUAGAGCAGAAUCAGCGGCAUACAUUGUUCCAAACAAAGUAUGUUAUUAAAGAGCGUUCUUGUCGUUUGAUUAUUGAUGGAGGUAGCCGCAACAACUUGGCUAGCAGCAACAUGGUGGAGAAGCUUGCACUUACCACCAAACCACAUCCACAUCCAUAUCACAUUCGGUGGCUGAACAACAGUGGUAAGGCCAAGGUAACAAAACUGGUGCGAAUUAAUUUUACUAUUGGUUCAUACCAUGAUGUUGUUGAAUGUGAUGUUGUACCUAUGGAAGCUUGUAAUAUUCUGCUAGGUAGACCAUGGCAAUUUGAUAAGGAAUGUAUACAUCAUGGUAGAUCAAAUCAGUAUUCGUUUAUGCACCAUGAUAUGAAAAUUGUUUUGCUACCUAUGUCUCCCGAAGCUAUCGUACGUGAUGAAGUUGCUAAAAUUACCAAGGCUAAAAUUAAGAACAAUGCAGAUGCCAAUGGAAAUAACAAAGAUGAGAUAAGAUUAAAUGGACAUUGCAUGCUUGCUACUAAAUUUGAUGUUAAUGAACUAAUUGUUUCCACAUCUACUGCUUAUGCUUUGGUAUGUAAGGGUGUUUUGAUUUCAAUUGAAGAUAUGCUGCAUUCUUUGCCCCCUGCUGUUCAUAACAUUUUGCAGGAGUAUGCUGAUGUUUUUCCAAGUGAGAUACCGGCAGGGCUGCCACCUAUACGUGGGAUUGAGCACCAAAUUGAUCUUAUUCCUGGUGCAUCUUUGCCAAACCGCGCGCCAUACAGGACAAAUCUAGAGGAAACAAAAGAGAUCCAGUGGCAAGUGCAAGAACUCCUCGACAAAGGUUAUGGAAUUGAGGUUGAUCAAGCCAAGGCAGAAGCUAUACAGGGAUGGCCUGUACCAAAGACAAUCACCCAGGUGCGGAGUUUCUUAGGACUUGCUGGGUUUUAUCGCCGUUUUGUGAAGGAUUUCAGCACCAUUGCUGCACCAUUGAAUGAGCUUACAAAGAAGGGAGUGCCUUUUGUGUGGAGCAAAGUACAAGAGAAUUCCUUCAACAUGUUAAAAGAUAAGUUAACACAUGCACCUCUCCUACAGCUUCCUGAUUUUAAUAAGACUUUUGAGCUUGAGUGUGAUGCUAGUGGGAUUGGUUUGGGAGGUGUUUUGCUACAAGAGGGUAAACCUGUUGCAUAUUUUAUUGAGAAAUUGAGUGGGCCUGUUCUGAACUAUUCAACUUAUGAUAAAGAAUUGUAUGCUCUUGUCCGAACUUUAGAAACAUGGCAACAUUAUUUGUGGCCCAAAGAGUUUGUUAUUCAUUCUGAUCAUGAAUCUUUAAAACAUAUUCGUAGUCAAGGAAAACUAAAUCGCAGACAUGCUAAGUGGGUAGAAUUUAUUGAAUCCUUUCCUUAUGUUAUUAAGCACAAGAAAGGGAAGGAGAAUAUCAUUGCUGAUGCUUUGUCAAGGAGAUAUACUUUGCUAAAUCAACUUGAUUACAAGAUUUUUGGAUUAGAAACGAUCAAAGACCAAUAUGUUCAUGAUGCUGAUUUUAAUGAAGUGUUGCUGCGUUGUAAAGAUGGAAAAGGAUGGAUCAAAUUCAUCGUUAGUGAUGGGUUUGUGUUUAGAGCUAACAAGCUAUGCAUUCCAGCUAGCUCUGUUCGUUUGUUGUUGUUACAGGAAGCUCAUGGAGGAGGUUUGAUGGGACAUUUUGGAGCAAAGAAGACGGAGGACAUACUUGCUGAUUUGAAACCAUAUUUGGGUGAGGAACAUGAGCUUGAGUUGAGGACGACUCAAAUCCAAGAAAGGGAGGAUGAUGAGGACAUCAACACCAUCGAUAUAUCCACACCUACACCAGUUGGUCCUCUUACUCAUGCUCGUGCCCGUCAACUCAACCUUCAAGUAAGUUCAGUUUUAAACUCUUGUCAAACAUAUUUAGACAAUGGAGACACGUGCACUUUCGUGUUGCUCAGGAAUAAUGGACAAGAUCAGCAAGGGAAGGUUCAACUGCAUUCGGAAUUUGAGGCAACACCAACUUCAAGGGCUGAUUGCAUAUGGGAAGAGUGAUAACUUAACAAAGGUGAUUGGAGAUCAGGUCCAAGCCUCCACAACAUCCUCUAUCAAGUUACCACGUCGCUUCUAAAUCAAGGAAACAAAGAGUCCAAAACCAACACGUUUUGGGAGUUGGAUUCGGACUGGAAAAUAACUCUAACUUGUAUGGAUCACCACGGCGUCAUAUGGACUCCAACUGGGACGUUCCUAUACUUGUUGGAAAGCCCAUGAAGUCUACUUUCCAAUGGGUCCAACCACAUAUCUAUGCAGCUUAUGAGUCGGGCGCAGUCCUUGUUUUUGUGCCGACACCUUUUUCUGUUUUGGUGCUGCGUCACCCUAUUUUGGACCAAUGGCCCAUGUAUCAAGUUGAGUCCAUUAGGGACGCAUCCUAGGGUUGGAGGACGACUCUAGCACCCCUUUGGUCGUCCUCCCCUCUAUUUAUUUACAUCUAGAGCCGCCAUGAACAACUGGGUUUUGAUUAGAUAAAGUUUAGCCUUCGCUACUUGCUUGUAAGCGCGCGUGCUGAUCCAGCCGCCCGUCUUCUUGUUUUCGAAACCCCACUUCAUUAGAGAUUGAGUUUGAAACCUUCAUUUACAUCUAGUAAUUUAGUACUUGUUUCCUCGUUCUUGCUAGUUCUUUGAUUGUUUGCAGGACGAGUGCCCUAGUGGCCGGGUGUUGCGCUCCACAAGAUCGUGACAGCCAUUGGAGGUGGUGUAUCGGUUGCUAAGGCGCGGUCUUGAGGGCUGUAGUCGGGCCGUGAACGUCAUCUUCAUCCACCAAUCGAUUUAUCCAGCGCCUCUCAUCGAAAGAUCAGGCGAAAACCCUAGUGGGUUCACAUCAGUUGGUAAUCAGAGCAAGGUUUAUUGGUGAGAGAUUUCCAAUUCUUCGUGUUUGUUUUUCCUAUAGUCCAAAAAAAAGCCAAAAAAUAUAGCAGAUUUGUUUUCCAUAAUCCUAUAAAUCCUUUGUGCCGUGGCUAGUACUACUUAGUUAGGGCUGGUUGAAUGAGUGUUUGCUUCAGUCGUGUCCAGUGCUGGUUUUAGUUUAGUCCUUUAGAGUUUUGAGUUCUUGUCACCAUCUAGUCACAACUGCGUCCAAUCUAUUGUGGGUUGGAAUUUGAGUAGAUCUUGAUAAUAGGUGCAGCCACUUGUUGGUCUAUUCUGUGUUUCCAUCAACGUGAUCCAAAAGGAAAGAUAGCACUUCAUACUUGUGCUAGAUAUAUUGAAUUUUGAGGUUCAGCCUUACUCUAGUGAGAGGGUGAGAGUGGUGAAGUGAUAUUUUGUACUAUUUUGUUUAUAUAAUCAGGUUUUGAGGUUCCCCAAAAAAAAGAAAAGAGAAAGAAAAAAAAUAAAAAAAAGAAAGAAAGAAAGAAAAAAAAAUCAAAAAAAGGGGAUUGUUGUUCCUUUUUGUUUCCAGUAGGGCUGCUCAUUUUAUUUCUAGUGGUGUGCUGUGUUUUUCCUUUGUGUCCAGGCUCGCGUCUCUAGCACGGUCUAGGCUAGGACCAGCACAGUACCACCGUUGAGCGUUUAUUGAACUUGCUUUUUAUAACUAACGUGGUGCUAGUUCGAUCCUUGUUUCAGCCCACCUAUAGCUCCACAUAUUCUACAGCUUGAUAGGUUUUGUUGCUGCGGCACCGAUACACUUCGUCCAUUGCUGUGGAUUUGUUGGUAGCCAAUCCCUCCUGUUGAGCAAGGUAAGAAUUGGUAAGAAUCUUGAUGAAAGAUAGGUGUACGGUUUGCAUGGAACGUACCAUAUUCUCAGAAAUCAAUUUGGACGCACCCAAUAGAACUCCUAGAUCAUGUGUGUCAUAUGGAAUCUCGCUUCGGUCUGUUUGGAGACAGUGUUAGUUUAGGUGAAAGAUUGGUGCUUGGUUUGCGCAUAAUGCACCAUAGGCUCAGAAACCAUUAUGGAUGCACCUGAUGAUAAUCCUAGGUGAAGAGGCUCAAGUGGAAGGUCGGUUCCAUAUGUUUGGAGAUAGUGCUAAUCUUGAUACAAGAUAGGUGCACGAUUUGCAUGGAACGUACCAUAUUCUUAGAAAUCAAUUUGGACGCACCCGAUAGAACUCCUAGAUCAUGUGUUUCAUAUGGAAUCUCGCUUCAAUCUGUUUGGAGACAGUGUUAGUUUAGGAGCAAGAUUGGUGCAUGGUUUGCACAUAAUGCACCAUAGACUCAGAAACCAUUAUGCAAGCACCCGAUGAUAAUCCUAGGUGAAGAGGCUCAAGUGGAAGGUCGGUUCGAUCUGUUUGGAGAUAGUGCUAAUCUUGAUGCAAGAUAGGUGCACGGUUUGCAUGGAACAUACCAUAUGCUAAGAAAUCCAUUUGGACGCACCCCAAUAGAACUCCUAGAUGACAUGUGUCAUAUAGAAUCUCGCUUUGGUCUGUUUGGAGACAGAGUUAGUUUUGGUCCAAGAUAGGUACAUAGUUUGCGCCU
This 7277-nucleotide long non-coding RNA is filed under the name Sorghum bicolor (sorghum). Its description in RNAcentral is "long non-coding RNA (SBIC_LNC018577)". Lineage: Eukaryota; Viridiplantae; Streptophyta; Magnoliopsida; Poales; Poaceae. The record is from RNAcentral.